This 1957-nucleotide ribosomal RNA is filed under the name freshwater metagenome. RNAcentral's name for it is "bacterial LSU rRNA". It matches the Rfam family "Bacterial large subunit ribosomal RNA", at positions 1 to 1987 of the family's 2925-position model. The record is from RNAcentral.
GUUCAGACGUGUGCUCUUCCGAUCUGUUUCCCAGUCACGAUAAGCAGGCGAUGAAGGACGUGCAAGCCUGCGAAAAGCAGUGGGGAGCUGGCAAUGAAGCUUUGAUCCACUGAUAUCCGAAUGGGGAAACCCACUCCGCAAGGAGUACUCCUGCCUGAAUAUAUAGGGCAGGUAGAGCGAACCGGGAGAACUGAAACAUCUAAGUACCCCGAGGAAAAGAAAUCAACCGAGAUUCCGUAAGUAGUGGCGAGCGAACGCGGAAGAGCCUGUACGUGUUAUGGAUUGUGUUAGUGGAAAGGUCCUGGAAAGGCCAGCCAUAGUGGGUGAUAGCCCCGUACACGAAAAUACAUUCCAAGAACUAGGCGUACGAGAAGUAGGGCGGGACACGCGAAAUCCUGUCUGAAUAUGGGGGGACCAUCCUCCAAGGCUAAAUACUCGUGAUCGACCGAUAGUGAACCAGUACCGUGAGGGAAAGGCGAAAAGAACCCCGGGAGGGGAGUGAAAUAGAACCUGAAACCGGAUGCAUACAAACAGUGGGAGCCUGGAAACGGGUGACUGCGUACCUUUUGUAUAAUGGGUCAGCGACUUACAUUCAGUGGCAAGCUUAACCGAAUAGGGGAGGCGUAGGGAAACCGAGUCCGAAUAGGGCGUCUUAGUCGCUGGGUGUAGACCCGAAACCGAGUGAUCUAUCCAUGGCCAGGAUGAAGGUGCGGUAACACGCACUGGAGGUCCGAACCCACUAGUGUUGCAAAACUAGGGGAUGAGCUGUGGAUAGGGGUGAAAGGCUAAACAAACUCGGAGAUAGCUGGUUCUCCCCGAAAACUAUUUAGGUAGUGCCUCAUGUAUCACUUCCGGGGGUAAAGCACUGUUAUGGCUAGGGGGUCAUUGCGAUUUACCAAACCAUGGCAAACUCUGAAUACCGGAAAGUGCAAGCAUGGGAGACAGACGGUGGGUGCUAACGUCCAUCGUCAAGAGGGAAACAACCCAGACCGCCAGCUAAGGUCCCAAAUGAUCAGUUAAGUGGUAAACGAGGUGGGAAGGCAUAGACAGCCAGGAUGUUGGCUUAGAAGCAGCCAUCAUUUAAAGAAAGCGUAAUAGCUCACUGGUCGAGUCGUCCUGCGCGGAAGAUGUAACGGGGCUCAAACUGAUAACCGAAGCUGCGGAUGGGCACAGUCAAAUGUGUCCGUGGUAGGGGAGCGUUCUGUAGGUCUGUGAAGGUGGUGGUGUAAACCCUGCUGGAGAUAUCAGAAGUGCGAAUGCUGACAUGAGUAGCGAUAAAGGGGGUGAAAAGCCCCCUCGCCGAAAGCCCAAGGUUUCCUACGCAACGUUCAUCGGCGUAGGGUAAGUCGGCCCCUAAGGCGAGGCUGAAAAGCGUAGUCGAUGGGAAACGGGUUAAUAUUCCCGUACUUUUAUACAGUGCGAUGUGGGGACGGAGAAGGUUAGGUCAGCCAACUGUUGGAAUAGUUGGUUCAAGCCGGUAGGUGGUUAGGGUAGGCAAAUCCGCCCUUUCAUUCAACACCGAGACGUGAUAACGAGGAUCUACGGAUCUGAAGUGACUGAUACCACGCUUCCAGGAAAAGCCACUAAGCUUCAGCUGUAUAGAAACCGUACCGCAAACCGACACAGGUGGGCAGGAUGAGAAUUCUAAGGCGCUUGAGAGAACUCAGGAGAAGGAACUCGGCAAAUUGAUACCGUAACUUCGGGAGAAGGUAUGCCUCUGCGUGUGUAGUGACUUGCUCACGAAGCGUGCAGAGGUCGCAGAGAAUAGGUGGCUGCGACUGUUUAUCAAAAACACAGCUCUGUGCCAACACGAAAGUGGACGUAUACGGAGUGACGCCUGCCCGGUGCUGGAAGAUUAAAUGAUGGGGUGCAAGCUCUUGAUUGAAGUCCCAGUAAACGGCGGCCGUAACUAUAACGGUCCUAAGGUAGCGAAAUUCCUUGUCGGGUAAGUUCCGAC